UGUUGUUUCUAAGAAUACAUCAUUGAGCGCUGAAACCAUUGUCACAGUUCUUGCAACAUUGAGGAACAUGACAGAACCUGUUAGGGUGAUCCCCGAGGCUCUAUCCAUUAUGAUUCGUUUAAAGUUUUCUUUGACUGUCUCAAUAACCUGUCUGCUUGAUGAAGAAAUAAACAAAGAUGCUGGUGAAAACAACUUCAAGCAAUGUUCUACCGUGGAAAUUGAAUAUGACAACCUCAUUUGGGAUCAAGCGGGGACAGGAAAUAACAAUUUCGUAGAUCAGUUGGUGCUGGAAAAUCAACACUUUUAUAUGCAAUAUUUGGAGAGGUUCAUAAGAUUUCUUGGAACAGUUAAUGUAGGUGCCAGCCUUGCGUACGUUUCUCAACAAAAAUUGGUCAGAGCGGGAUAAGCAUGAGUGGAGGACAAAAACAAAGUUUUCAACUAGCUAAAGCAAUCCACAAUGAUGCAGAUAUCUAUCUUCUUGAUGACCCUUUUAGUGCAAUUGACGCACAUACAGUCGACUUUGUUUUUGGGGUUUAAGGGCUUCCACUGCUUCCUUCUCAAGCUUCAC
RNA transcript from Lathyrus oleraceus (garden pea), 568 nucleotides. RefSeq lists it as uncharacterized. The transcript has 2 exons. The record is from RefSeq and is a predicted model, not a curated record. NCBI's taxonomy places the organism in Eukaryota, Viridiplantae, Streptophyta, Magnoliopsida, Fabales, Fabaceae.